UGUCCCACACGCGGGCAGCAGUGUCCUGCGGGCGGGGGCAGUUGGGAUAGCCUUUGAUCACCCGCUGCUAUGCUCUGCAAAGCAGCUGGUGAUCACUGAGUACAUGCUGCGCGCACGCUCACGGCAUGUAAUCAGUGCUAGGAGGGGAGCGGAGGCUGCUCAGUUGCUUGGGGAGCACUGGGCACGCCCCCAAAAGGCAGAAGAAUGGUCCGUUUGGCAAGGCCACGCCCACCACAUAUGAGGCCACGCCCACCACGAGCGAGGCCACACACCCUUUUCGGGUUGGCACGCGGCAUCGCCGCGCGCUAGUCCCAAUUUCACCACCACGAAAGUUGGGAGGCUUGACCUAUUGCACCAAUCCUACACAGUGUGUCCAAGAUGGCUGCCUCACCUCGUACCAUUUGUGGGUAGAAUAUAUAACCCAUGGAAGUUAUUAUCCAAAAUGUCUGCACCAACCGGACGCUGACAGUGUGUGUCUGAACCAGUCCCGGAUCCACUACCAGUUUGCCGUGCAGCAACAAGAGGAUAUCCCCAGCACUCACCAAUACAAAUGAGGACAUUCUAAGUCUAACAUGGACUCUCAUGUAUGGAAGCCUUUCCACCUCUAAAGUGGUGACCGGUACAUAUCCAAACAACCGAACUGUGCUAAUCUAACCAAACCUCUAUGGAAUUAGUGGACUUAUCUGGGCAUAUUAUACAGGAACAGACACCGAGUGAUCCCAUUCUAUACAGAAAUAUCAACUGAAUGUGGUGUAUGUAAUUUAUUUUAUACAAUUGUGAGGAGAGUAAUUGCUAAUUUUAGUAGUUGUAUUGGUUUUACUAUAAUAAA
Pseudophryne corroboree (corroboree frog) is the source of this 829-nucleotide long non-coding RNA. RefSeq lists it as uncharacterized. The transcript has 3 exons. Lineage: Eukaryota; Metazoa; Chordata; Amphibia; Anura; Myobatrachidae. The record is from RefSeq and is a predicted model, not a curated record.